This 1539-nucleotide ribosomal RNA is filed under the name Streptococcus suis T15. Its description in RNAcentral is "bacterial SSU rRNA". It matches the Rfam family "Bacterial small subunit ribosomal RNA". Lineage: Bacteria; Bacillati; Bacillota; Bacilli; Lactobacillales; Streptococcaceae. The record is from RNAcentral.
AGAGUUUGAUCCUGGCUCAGGACGAACGCUGGCGGCGUGCCUAAUACAUGCAAGUAGAACGCUGAAGUCUGGUGCUUGCACUAGACGGAUGAGUUGCGAACGGGUGAGUAACGCGUAGGUAACCUGGCCUCAUAGCGGGGGGAUAACUAUUGGAAACGAUAGCUAAUACCGCAUAACAGUAUUUACCGCAUGGUAGAUAUUUGAAAGGAGCAAUUGCUUCACUAUGAGAUGGACCUGCGUUGUAUUAGCUAGUUGGUGAGGUAACGGCUCACCAAGGCUUCGAUACAUAGCCGACCUGAGAGGGUGAUCGGCCACACUGGGACUGAGACACGGCCCAGACUCCUACGGGAGGCAGCAGUAGGGAAUCUUCGGCAAUGGGGGCAACCCUGACCGAGCAACGCCGCGUGAGUGAAGAAGGUUUUCGGAUCGUAAAGCUCUGUUGUAAGAGAAGAACUGUGAGAAGAGUGGAAAGUUUCUCACUUGACGGUAUCUUACCAGAAAGGGACGGCUAACUACGUGCCAGCAGCCGCGGUAAUACGUAGGUCCCGAGCGUUGUCCGGAUUUAUUGGGCGUAAAGCGAGCGCAGGCGGUUUGAUAAGUCUGAAGUAAAAGGCUGUGGCUUAACCAUAGUACGCUUUGGAAACUGUCAAACUUGAGUGCAGAAGGGGAGAGUGGAAUUCCAUGUGUAGCGGUGAAAUGCGUAGAUAUAUGGAGGAACACCGGUGGCGAAAGCGGCUCUCUGGUCUGUAACUGACGCUGAGGCUCGAAAGCGUGGGGAGCGAACAGGAUUAGAUACCCUGGUAGUCCACGCCGUAAACGAUGAGUGCUAGGUGUUGGGUCCUUUCCGGGACUCAGUGCCGCAGCUAACGCAUUAAGCACUCCGCCUGGGGAGUACGACCGCAAGGUUGAAACUCAAAGGAAUUGACGGGGGCCCGCACAAGCGGUGGAGCAUGUGGUUUAAUUCGAAGCAACGCGAAGAACCUUACCAGGUCUUGACAUCCCGAUGACCGCCCUAGAGAUAGGGUUUCUCUUCGGAGCAUCGGUGACAGGUGGUGCAUGGUUGUCGUCAGCUCGUGUCGUGAGAUGUUGGGUUAAGUCCCGCAACGAGCGCAACCCCUAUUGUUAGUUGCCAUCAUUCAGUUGGGCACUCUAGCGAGACUGCCGGUAAUAAACCGGAGGAAGGUGGGGAUGACGUCAAAUCAUCAUGCCCCUUAUGACCUGGGCUACACACGUGCUACAAUGGCUGGUACAACGAGUCGCAAGUCGGUGACGGCAAGCUAAUCUCUUAAAGCCAGUCUCAGUUCGGAUUGUAGGCUGCAACUCGCCUACAUGAAGUCGGAAUCGCUAGUAAUCGCGGAUCAGCACGCCGCGGUGAAUACGUUCCCGGGCCUUGUACACACCGCCCGUCACACCACGAGAGUUUGUAACACCCGAAGUCGGUGAGGUAACCUUUUAGGAGCCAGCCGCCUAAGGUGGGAUAGAUGAUUGGGGUGAAGUCGUAACAAGGUAGCCGUAUCGGAAGGUGCGGCUGGAUCACCU